GACGAACGCUGGCGGCGUGCUUAACACAUGCAAGUCGAACGGAAAGGCCCUGCUUUUGUGGGGUGCUCGAGUGGCGAACGGGUGAGUAACACGUGAGUAACCUGCCCUUGACUUUGGGAUAACUUCAGGAAACUGGGGCUAAUACCGGAUAGGAGCUCCUGCUGCAUGGUGGGGGUUGGAAAGUUUCGGCGGUUGGGGAUGGACUCGCGGAUUAUCAGCUUGUUGGUGGGGUAGUGGCUUACCAAGGCUUUGACGGGUAGCCGGCCUGAGAGGGUGACCGGCCACAUUGGGACUGAGAUACGGCCCAGACUCCUACGGGAGGCAGCGGUGGGGAAUAUUGCACAAUGGGCGGAAGCCUGAUGCAGCAACGCCGCGUGCGGGAUGACGGCCUUCGGGUUGUAAACCGCUUUCGCCUGUGACGAAGCGUGAGUGACGGUAAUGGGUAAAGAAGCACCGGCUAACUACGUG
RNAcentral lists this ribosomal RNA (468 nucleotides) under uncultured bacterium. RNAcentral describes it as "partial 16S ribosomal RNA". It matches the Rfam family "Bacterial small subunit ribosomal RNA", at positions 28 to 507 of the family's 1533-position model. The record is from RNAcentral.